UCUUUUUCCACUGGGGGUCUCAUCUGCUGCCUCUUUUAAGACUUCGGCUACUCCAAUCAACAUCCCAGGCUUCCUCCGGCCCCAUAGACACGUCACCGGCAAACCGGGAAGUCGAUGAUAUCGUCCCUUUCAGCCUGGAUGGCGAGCAGGCUACCGACGUGAAACAAAGGAUAACGUCGUGGAACAAGAGCAUUUGAGAAGGUCGGUCGGGCCGAGCGGCUUCAAUGCAGGCAGUAAGGAAAGUAACACAUCUCUUUCACUCCUUAUCAGCUUUUUCCAUCUUCGGUUCACAGCGAGCAGAUCGCUGCAAAGUGAUGAUUCAUAAGGGGCGGGGCCACGAUCCGUUUCUCCUUCUUGAGGAAUGACUCAUCAGUGACCGCGGAAGCUUACUCCAAAGGCGCAUUAUCUCUUGACUAUUUAUAGCCUCCGAAAAGGCUGAAGAAUGACGUCAGGCAAACGGUAGGCGGGCAGCGACCGGGUUUCGGCCUCGCCCUACGGUUGGUCUGGCUGCCCCCCUUGGGAUGUCUUUUGAGCGUGGAGCCAUCAAAUGUACGGUGCAAGAAUCCGGAUAACCGUUAGGUGGCAGAAAAUGGAUCCCGAAUCGGCGGAGUGUAUAAGUGGUGGUCUGGAUUUUUGGUGCUCUGAACGACAGAUCUCUACAAGGAAGAAUUUAGCCACAUGACAUCAAGUAUGAAAUGAUGACAACGAAUGCUGAAGAGCAUCAAAACAUAAUUUCAUGAACUUGGAUUCUGUAUGAGGCAGAAAUUUUGCUUUUUUGUCAUGGAUAGGACUGUGUAUCACUUUGAGAGUAAAAGAGUGACAGCUGAGAAGGCCUUGAAGUGUUGUCCAUUACUAGCCAAACCAUGGAUUGAACUUGCAUACAGGUUCCUAAGCCACCUUUCUUCAACCUGGUCUCCAUUGCAUAUUAGACUCCAACAUCAUCUGCACAGGAUCUUGGAAUGCCACUUUUGGACCAUGAGAAGCAACUGCUUAAAAAACGGAAAUGAGUUGGGCUGAUCCUGUAUGAACCAUCUUAUUGCAUUUCCCUCUGGAAGUCUCUGUUAAAAACUUCUGUGUCUCUGCUAUUAAAGAAGUGCAACUUUUUCAAGCCAGAAAAGACUGAACUAUUAAUAUGAUAUUGCCUAUGUACUUAAUAAUAUUUUCCAUCAUAUUAAAUGAUUCAUUUCUUCA
Crotalus tigris (Tiger rattlesnake) is the source of this 1191-nucleotide long non-coding RNA. RefSeq lists it as uncharacterized. The transcript has 4 exons. Lineage: Eukaryota; Metazoa; Chordata; Lepidosauria; Squamata; Viperidae. The record is from RefSeq and is a predicted model, not a curated record.